CGAGUUGUAGCCUCGUGUACGGGACAAGCGCCCCCCAACCA
RNAcentral lists this transfer RNA (41 nucleotides) under Cyrtodactylus cf. pubisulcus. RNAcentral describes it as "partial tRNA-Tyr". Lineage: Eukaryota; Metazoa; Chordata; Lepidosauria; Squamata; Gekkonidae. The record is from RNAcentral.